Long non-coding RNA from Pan troglodytes (chimpanzee), 712 nucleotides. RefSeq lists it as uncharacterized. Lineage: Eukaryota; Metazoa; Chordata; Mammalia; Primates; Hominidae. The transcript has 3 exons. The record is from RefSeq and is a predicted model, not a curated record.
CACCCUUAUCUCCCUUCACUGACUCUCUUUUCGGACUCAGCCGGCCUGCACCCAGGUGAAAUAAACAGCCAUGUUGUUCACACAAAGCCUGUUUGGUGGUCUCUUCACACGGGCGUGCAUGAAAUUUGGUGCCAUGACUUGGCUCAGGGGACCUCCCUUGGGAGAUCAAUCCCCUGUCCUCCUGUUCUUUGCUCCAUGAGAAAGAUCCACCUACAACCUCAGGUCCUCAGACCGACCAGCCAAAGAAACAUCUCUCACCAAUUUCAAAUCUGAUCUUCUCAGUUUAGCGGCUGAAGACUGACACUGCCCAAUCGCCUCGGAAGCCCCCUAGACCAUCACGGAUGCCGAGCUUCGGGUAACUCUCACAGUGGAAGGUAUACGCCCAGAUGGCCUGAAGUAACUGAAGAAUCACAAAAGAAGUGAAAAGGCCCUGCCCCACCUUAACUGAUGACAUUCCACCACAAGAGAAGUGUAAAUGGCCAGUUCUUGCCUUAAGUGAUGACAUUACCUUGUGAAAGUCCUUUUCCUGGCUCAUCCUGGCUCAAAAAGCACCCCCACUGAGCACUUUGUGACCUCCACUCCUGCCCGCCAGAGAACAAACGUCCUUUGACUGUAAUUUUCCUUUACCUACCCAAAUCCUAUAAAGUGGCCCCACCCUUAUCUCUCUUCACUGAAUCUCUUUUUGGACUCAGCCGGCCUGCACCCAGGUGAA